This 352-nucleotide long non-coding RNA is filed under the name Ovis aries (sheep). Its description in RNAcentral is "lncRNA (ENSOARG00000025793.1)". Lineage: Eukaryota; Metazoa; Chordata; Mammalia; Artiodactyla; Bovidae. The record is from RNAcentral.
GAUGAUGAGCUUCUUAAUAUCUUUUUUAUUAUUCCAAUUUUUAAAAUUUGUCAUGUUCACAUUUUAUGAGUGAAUAAAAAUGAACAGUACUUUUUCUUCUCUAGUAAGCUGUUAUCUGAUUGUAAGUUAUUUAAGGAAUCCUGGCUCAGAGUGAUAUUCCUCCCCAGACUGAGGGUCUAAUCCAGGAGAAUGUUUCUCUAGUAAACGGAGGAAACCUGGACAGGGGUCUGCGGCUAUGACCUACCACCAGGUGUCCCUCCUUAAGGAAUCCCUUGCAAGUGAAUCCUGGUCUCAGCAUGUGCUUCUGGGGAACCAGACCUAAAACCCUCUCCACUCACAUGCUGGUCCCAUG